AUGGCAACAUCAUAUGCUACGAUGUACUCUACAUCACUAACUAAGUAGGCUAAAGUAUCCUUCUUGGAACCUUUCCAGCAGAUUGCUCCUACAAUUAGGGUAUAAUUCGAUACUUUCUUGUUGUCAUCUUGAUCCGACUGAAAUCGAAACAUCCACAUAUUUAAAGUCAGUAUUUCUAUAUUUGAGUUACUAGACCUUAAUAUUUCUCAAAUACUUAAGAUUUCUAUACAAUCUUCCAGUGGUUCUUACUU
Molecule: long non-coding RNA, 251 nt
Filed under: Elaeis guineensis (African oil palm)
Lineage: Eukaryota; Viridiplantae; Streptophyta; Magnoliopsida; Arecales; Arecaceae
Description: long non-coding RNA (EGUI_LNC051046)
Source: RNAcentral